This 288-nucleotide ribosomal RNA is filed under the name Salmonella enterica. Its description in RNAcentral is "partial 23S ribosomal RNA". It matches the Rfam family "Bacterial large subunit ribosomal RNA", at positions 2660 to 2925 of the family's 2925-position model. Lineage: Bacteria; Pseudomonadati; Pseudomonadota; Gammaproteobacteria; Enterobacterales; Enterobacteriaceae. The record is from RNAcentral.
GACUGAGGGGGGCUGCUCCUAGUACGAGAGGACCGGAGUGGACGCAUCACUGGUGUUCGGGUUGUCAUGCCAAUGGCACUGCCCGGUAGCUAAAUGCGGAAGAGAUAAGUGCUGAAAGCAUCUAAGCACGAAACUUGCCCCGAGAUGAGUCUUCCCUGAGAUUUUAAGUCUCCUGAAGGAACGUUAAAGACGAUGACGUUGAUAGGCCGGGUGUGUAAGCGCAGCGAUGCGUUGAGCUAACCGGUACUAAUGAACCGUGAGGCUUAACCUUACAACGCCGAAGCUGUU